UCGUCACACUAUCAUUACGUGAAUCCAUAGCGUAAUGAGGCGAACCGGGGGAACUGAAACAUCUAAGUACCCCGAGGAAAAGAAAUCAACCGAGAUUCCCCCAGUAGCGGCGAGCGAACGGGGAGGAGCCCAGAGCCUGAAUCAGCAUGUGUGUUAGUGGAAGCGUCUGGAAAGGCGCGCGAUACAGGGUGAGAGCCCCGUACACAAAAGCGCAUGUGCUGUGAGCUCGAUGAGUAGGGCGGGACACGUGGUAUCCUGUCUGAAUAUGGGGGGACCAUCCUCCAAGGCUAAAUACUCCUGACUGACCGAUAGUGAACCAGUACCGUGAGGGAAAGGCGAAAAGAACCCCGGCGAGGGGAGUGAAAAAGAACCUGAAACCGUGUACGUACAAGCAGUGGGAGCAUGAGUUUACUCAUGUGACUGCGUACCUUUUGUAUAAUGGGUCAGCGACUUAUAUUCUGUAGCAAGGUUAACCGCAUAGGGGAGCCGAAGGGAAACCGAGUCUUAAUUGGGCGUUAAGUUGCAGGGUAUAGACCCGAAACCCGGUGAUCUAGCCAUGGGCAGGUUGAAGGUUGGGUAACACUAACUGGAGGACCGAACCGACUAAUGUUGAAAAAUUAGCGGAUGACCUGUGGCUGGGGGUGAAAGGCCAAUCAAACCGGGAGAUAGCUGGUUCUCCCCGAAAGCUAUUUAGGUAGCGCCUCGUGAACUCAUCUCCGGGGGUAGAGCACUGUUUCGGCUAGGGGGCCAUCCCGGCUUACCAACCCGAUGCAAACUGCGAAUACCGGAGAAUGUUAUCACGGGAGACACACGGCGGGUGCUAACGUCCGUCGUGAAGAGGGAAACAACCCAGACCGCCAGCUAAGGUCCCAAAGUCAUGGUUAAGUGGGAAACGAUGUGGGAAGGCCCAGACAGCCAGGAUGUUGGCUUAGAAGCAGCCAUCAUUUAAAGAAAGCGUAAUAGCUCACUGGUCGAGUCGGCCUGCGCGGAAGAUGUAACGGGGCUAAACCAUGCACCGAAGCUGCGGCAGCGA
RNAcentral lists this ribosomal RNA (1033 nucleotides) under Salmonella enterica. Its description in RNAcentral is "partial 23S ribosomal RNA". It matches the Rfam family "Bacterial large subunit ribosomal RNA", at positions 140 to 1211 of the family's 2925-position model. Lineage: Bacteria; Pseudomonadati; Pseudomonadota; Gammaproteobacteria; Enterobacterales; Enterobacteriaceae. The record is from RNAcentral.